GGGCCCUCAAAUAUGAUGCGGCUGGACCUCUCGGGGUUACAGCCUUGCUGAAUUAUUCACCCUUGUCUUUUGCGUACUUCUUGUUUCCUUGGUGGGUUCGCCCACCACUAGGACAAACAUAAACCUUUUGUAAUUGCAAUCAGCGUCAGUAACAAAUUAAUAAUUACAACUUUCAACAACGGAUCUCUUGGUUCUGGCAUCGAUGAAGAACGCAGCGAAAUGCGAUAAGUAGUGUGAAUUGCAGAAUUCAGUGAAUCAUCGAAUCUUUGAACGCACAUUGCGCCCUUUGGUAUUCCAAAGGGCAUGCCUGUUCGAGCGUCAUUUGUACCCUCAAGCUUUGCUUGGUGUUGGGCGUCUUGUCUCUAGCUUUGCUGGAGACUCGCCUUAAAGUAAUUGGCAGCCGGCCUACUGGUUUCGGAGCGCAGCACAAGUCGCACUCUCUAUCAGCAAAGGUCUAGCAUCCAUUAAGCCUUUUUUUCAACUUUUGACCUCGGAUCAGGUAGGGAUACCCGCUGAACUUAAGCAUAUCAAUAAGCGGAGGAA
RNAcentral lists this ribosomal RNA (543 nucleotides) under Alternaria alternata. RNAcentral's name for it is "eukaryotic LSU rRNA". The stretch from base 168 to 321 matches the Rfam family "5.8S ribosomal RNA". Lineage: Eukaryota; Fungi; Ascomycota; Dothideomycetes; Pleosporales; Pleosporaceae. The record is from RNAcentral.